RNAcentral lists this ribosomal RNA (492 nucleotides) under uncultured bacterium. RNAcentral's name for it is "partial 16S ribosomal RNA". It matches the Rfam family "Bacterial small subunit ribosomal RNA", at positions 29 to 507 of the family's 1533-position model. The record is from RNAcentral.
AGUGAACGCUGGCGGUAGGCCUAACACAUGCAAGUCGAACGGCAGCACAGUAAGAGCUUGCUCUUACGGGUGGCGAGUGGCGGACGGGUGAGGAAUACAUCGGAAUCUACUUUUUCGUGGGGGAUAACGUAGGGAAACUUACGCUAAUACCGCGUACGACCUACGGGUGAAAGCAGGGGAUCUUCGGACCUUGCGCGAUUGAAUGAGCCGAUGUCGGAUUAGCUAGUUGGCGGGGUAAAGGCCCACCAAGGCGACGAUCCGUAGCUGGUCUGAGAGGAUGAUCAGCCACACUGGAACUGAGACACGGUCCAGACUCCUACGGGAGGCAGCAGUGGGGAAUAUUGGACAAUGGGCGCAAGCCUGAUCCAGCCAUACCGCGUGGGUGAAGAAGGCCUUCGGGUUGUAAAGCCCCUUUGUUGGGAAAGAAAAGCAGCAGGUUAAUACCCCGCUGUUCUGACGGUACCCAAAGAAUAAGCACCGGCUAACUUCGUG